This 332-nucleotide ribosomal RNA is filed under the name uncultured bacterium. Its description in RNAcentral is "bacterial SSU rRNA". It matches the Rfam family "Bacterial small subunit ribosomal RNA", at positions 568 to 898 of the family's 1533-position model. The record is from RNAcentral.
CGUGUAGGCGGGAAUUUAAGUCAGAUGUGAAAGCCCAUGGCUCAACUGUGGGACUGCAUCUGAAACUAAGUUUCUUGAGUGCUGGAGAGGAAAGCGGAAUUCCUAGUGUAGCGGUGAAAUGCGUAGAUAUUAGGAGGAACACCAGUGGCGAAGGCGGCUUUCUGGACAGUAACUGACGCUGAGGCGCGAAAGUGUGGGGAGCAAACAGGAUUAGAUACCCUGGUAGUCCACACUGUAAACGAUGGAUACUAGGUGUAGGAGGUAUCGACCCCUUCUGUGCCGCAGUUAACACAAUAAGUAUCCCACCUGGGGAGUACGGCCGCAAGGUUGAA